Herpailurus yagouaroundi (jaguarundi) is the source of this 417-nucleotide long non-coding RNA. RefSeq lists it as uncharacterized. The record is from RefSeq and is a predicted model, not a curated record. The transcript has 3 exons. Lineage: Eukaryota; Metazoa; Chordata; Mammalia; Carnivora; Felidae.
UUGACCAGGGGAAAAAACUACUUUCAGAAAAGAAAAACUAAAGCCACAAGCAGUGAUAAAUCGAAGACGAUGCAGCCAACGUUGGAAUCGGGUCAGCUUGGACAACCUGCAGUCACAGGUGCCCUGUCACCUGCGAGCUUCUCUCAGCCUCCUCGGAUGCCUCCACCAACCCCGGGCAGCAGUUUCUCAACCCAGAAAAAGAAAACGCAAAACACAAAUACUGCAAAAUCUGAGAUGAUGCAGCCAACGCUGGAAUGGGGUCAGCUUGGACAACCUUCCGUCACAGGUGCCCUGUCACCUGCGAGCUUCUCUCAGCCUCCUCAGAUGCCUCCACCAACUCCGGGCUGCAGUUUCUCGACCAAGAAAAGAAAAACUAAAGCCACAAGCAGUGAUAAAUCGAAGACGAUGCAGCCAACG